This is a long non-coding RNA of Meriones unguiculatus (Mongolian gerbil), 1232 nucleotides long. RefSeq lists it as uncharacterized. Lineage: Eukaryota; Metazoa; Chordata; Mammalia; Rodentia; Muridae. The record is from RefSeq and is a predicted model, not a curated record. The transcript is spliced from 3 exons.
GUGAAGACACAGACCUGUGGCUCCAACUCUGCUUGGCUUUCUGUUUGGCACCUCGGCCCUGUCUUUCCUUCUGGAAGAUGGAGACUCCUGAGGACUCCAGAUGAAAGCUUCUUACAUAGGUCCUGAGAAUUGAACCCAGGACCCACUCACGCUUGCAUGGCAAGCACUGCGGGUGUGGACAGGGUCUAGUCCAGUCUCUGAACUUCACUCUGAACUUCCCCCACAAAAAACCGAGAUCCAGGGUAAGUAGCGCAAUGUUUUCACAACUGUAAAUACGUCUGGAUGAGUAAGACCUGCCUUGAAGUGGCCAAAGGGAGUAAUGGUUAAUUAAGCCCAAGAUUCCAGACCACCAUAUUAAAAACAGCAUGUCUGCACGUUCACACUUAAACAAGUAUCUCAAGAACAGCUCUUCUUUCUCAGGGUCCCAGGGAAUUUCAACCAGUGUCAAGAAGCAGGUUGGGCCGGUCUGCCAGCUUGUGGCCACCAGACACCAAUAGCUUUGUUGCUUUGGCGCCUGCAGAUCGGGCCUUCCAGACUGUUGAGGCCUCCCUCUCAGGCAGAAUGUCCCAGCCGGUGCUCUGAGAGGGCCCAGGGAUCAGAGGACAAGCUGACCAGAAAAGCAACCACCUAACAAAUGCCAAGUCACAAAGGCAUGCAUGGGCUCUGUGGGAGACAGGCUUCAGGACAGGCCCCAAGGGCAGGUGGCUGAGGUUCAAAGAAACAGGUGUGCAUCACAUGGGGUAUCCCUGCGGCCAGCGGGACAGGCACGGAGGUUCAGCCUCCUUGUUCUUUUCUCAUUCUUUCUUUCCCCUUUCCUCCUUACUAAGAAGAGGCAUGUUAUGCAAGGGGAGGCCCAGAUUGCAAUGAAGGAGGAGAACGGCUCUGGGUGGCGGCCACUGUCCAGCCCUGUUCCUACACCAAUGACAUCCAUCACAAGGCAGAUGCUGACUUCCAAGAGCCAGCUCAGCUGAAGCCAAGACGUUGGUUGCUGUGUCUAACUGGAGCAAAAGCAAGUGAGCUGGGAGCUGCUUGCAUCGCAACUUCAGUGGAGAGAUUGUGAAAACCACCCACAGCCAAGGCGAGGGCAGCCAACUUGGCCAUUCCUGGCCUAGUCCACCACCUCCCUUCCCCCGCUGAAGACUGCAGCCCUUCUGUGUUUUACUGUGAACUGGGGCACUGUCACUACUCCACCAACAAAGCCUUCAAAGGCUGAGGCUGGACAUUAACAGCGG